Molecule: small nucleolar RNA, 119 nt
Filed under: Myotis lucifugus (little brown bat)
Lineage: Eukaryota; Metazoa; Chordata; Mammalia; Chiroptera; Vespertilionidae
Description: Small nucleolar RNA SNORA25 (ENSMLUG00000019906.1)
Source: RNAcentral
AGGUCAUUUCAAAGACAGCUGUGGGGCCAAAGCCAGUAGCUCUCAAUGCUGUGACCUAAGAUUGAUCUGGAAUGUAAUAGACACUCAAUUGUGCUAUGCUUUCCCGAGGAGAUAUAAGA